GAAAAUAACUAUGAUUCCCUUAGUAACGGCGAGUGAACAGGGAGAAGCCCAAAUUUGUAAUCUGGCACUUUUUACAAGUGUCCGAGUUGUAAUUUGUAGAACUGUUAUCCGUGCUGGACCAUGUACAAGUCUGUUGAAAAGCAGCAUCGUUGAAGGUGAAAAUCCUGUAGAUGAUAUGGACUACCAGUACUCUUGUGAUACGGUUUCUAAGAGUCGAGUUGUUUGGGAAUGCAGCUCAAAGUGGGUGGUAAAUUCCAUCUAAGGCUAAAUAUAAGUGAGAGACCGAUAGCAAACAAGUACCGUGAGGGAAAGAUGAAAAGAACUUUGAAAAUAGAGUUAACAGUACGUGAAAUUGCUGAAAGGUAAACGUUUGAAGUUAGUUUUGUAUUCGUUGGAUCAGCUUCGCAAGGAGUGUAUUCUGAUGAUAAGCAAGUCAACAUCAGUCUAUGAGUGUUGGAGAAGGGUUUUGAGAAUGUAGCAAUUUAAUUGUGUUAUAGCUUGAGACUUGGAUACGAUGCUUUGGAUUGAGGAACGCGUAGUAAGCUUUGAGCGGAUUCGAAAGGAUCUCCUUACUCUGGAUGUUGGUGAAAUAACUUUAAGCGACC
Molecule: ribosomal RNA, 605 nt
Filed under: Melampsora sp. HMNWFC-T031
Lineage: Eukaryota; Fungi; Basidiomycota; Pucciniomycetes; Pucciniales; Melampsoraceae
Description: eukaryotic LSU rRNA
Rfam family: Eukaryotic large subunit ribosomal RNA
Source: RNAcentral